RNAcentral lists this long non-coding RNA (1282 nucleotides) under Zonotrichia albicollis (white-throated sparrow). Its description in RNAcentral is "lncRNA (ENSZALG00000003061.1)". The record is from RNAcentral. Lineage: Eukaryota; Metazoa; Chordata; Aves; Passeriformes; Passerellidae.
GCGGGGCGGAGCGCGGAGCCCGCUCGGGGCUGCGGAUGCUCCGUCCGGCACCGCCGGUGGCAGCGGGGCGGGCGCCAGCCCGGCUCUGGGCGUCUGUAACGGGCAGCGCGACCGCGACGGAGCCGCCGGUACCGGCUCUUCAACGGCGGUACCGGCACCGGUACCGGCAGCGCUCCGGCCCUGCUAUCCCAGCACCGGCAUCAGUGCUUGGAUCCCGGCACCAGGACCGACCGGCCUCACUGACACCGGCACCGCCACUGACACCGGUACCGGCUCUUCUUCCCCGGCACAAGGUCCGGUGUCCCCGCCACCGGGACUACACCCCGUUAUCCUCCCCCGGCACUGGGACCACUCCGAUUCCCCGGCAUUGCUCGUCCUUCUCCUGCACCGGCACCGACCGGCCCUUCCCGGCUCCCCGGGCCCCCGCCUGCCGCAGAGAUCAGCAGCGCAAAUCCCUGCUCGGGGACUUCAUCCAAACCUCUCACCGGGGUGAGUCCCCGGGCUUGGGCUCUGCUGGAAGCGGCGCCUUCCUUGGUGCAAGAGGAAGAAAUCUUGGUGCUUUUUGGCCAAAACGCGGCUCUGGUUCCCUGCGGGGAUGUAUCCCCGCUCCCAAAUGCAGCCGGGCGUUGCGAGACCCCGGCGUGGGGCCGCUACCCUGUCGGAAUUAGGUCAGGCUUCGUUCAUCCCGGGCCGGCUGAGCUCCCGCCGCAGCCCCGGGAUUGAUGGCUCGGGGCAGGAGCCCGGGGAGGGGGAGGAUGGGGCUCCGCACGGCGGGGAACGGGAGCGGGGACGCGCAGCAUCACCGGCACCGCACGGAGGGAUGGAGGAGGGGGAUGCGCUGCUUUGAAAGCGCCUCCCGUAAGAUCCACCGAGAUCAGAGGAGCGGGAUGUCAGGGAAAGCUCCAAAUAGACUCCAAAUAGGGCCCCAGCGCUGUGGAUCUGCAGGCGCUGGAAGGAGCUGCAGCUGCCAGGAGCUCCCGGCAGCAUCAUCCAUCGGGGAACUGCUGCUCCCUGCAAUUCCUGCGGCGAGGCUGUGCCGGAGGGAACGGGAUGGAUGUGGGGAGUGGCUGGAUCCUGCCCCAUGGCUCAGAACCCCUGUGAGCUGCAGGGGCGACGCAGCUCAGGAAGACCAGUGGAAAUUGGGAAAUUGGCUGAGACACGGGAGUGAGGCAGAGCCCAGAGACAGGCAGGGCUCAUCUCCAGCCCUGGGAUGCACAGGGUGCUGGAGAGGCUUUGGGAGUGGCUCCUGGGGCUGGCAGGGUCUCAGGCAUUCCAAAGCAGC